This 71-nucleotide transfer RNA is filed under the name Ibacus alticrenatus. RNAcentral's name for it is "tRNA-Leu". Lineage: Eukaryota; Metazoa; Arthropoda; Malacostraca; Decapoda; Scyllaridae. The record is from RNAcentral.
AUUGUCUUGGCAGAAAUUUAUGCAUUAAGUUUAGGACUUAAUUAUAUAGUAAAAUUAGACUAUAGAUAAUA